This 411-nucleotide transfer RNA is filed under the name bacterium HTCC8046. RNAcentral's name for it is "partial 16S-23S ribosomal RNA intergenic spacer". The stretch from base 100 to 173 matches the Rfam family "tRNA". The record is from RNAcentral.
UCUAAGGAUGAAUGAAAAUAAAAUUUCAUUCUAAAUAAUAUACAUAGGUAAUGUUGACCGUCCUCAUUUCUCUUCUUAAAGUAAUGUUUCCUUCUUGUAGGGCCGGUAGCUCAGUUGGUUAGAGCACACCCUUGAUAAGGGUGGGGUCGAAAGUUCGAGUCUUUCUCGGCCCACCACACUUAACUGGGGGAUUAGCUCAGCUGGGAGAGCGCCUGAUUUGCAUUCAGGAGGUCAGCGGUUCGAUCCCGCUAUCCUCCACCAGGAAACAUUUAGCUAUGAAAAUUGUAAAUAAAUUUAAUAAUUAAUAUCAAUAUCUAUAUCCGAACAUUAGUAAUGUUAUUAGCUAAUGUUCAAAAUAAAAAUUUGAUCACAACAUAGACGAUUUUUCUUUUAAAAAAGAAUUUUUUUCUG